This 97-nucleotide signal recognition particle RNA is filed under the name Saccharobesus litoralis. Its description in RNAcentral is "Bacterial small signal recognition particle RNA". It matches the Rfam family "Bacterial small signal recognition particle RNA". From Rfam's summary of the family: The signal recognition particle (SRP) is a universally conserved ribonucleoprotein involved in the co-translational targeting of proteins to membranes. Archaeal SRP consists of a 7S RNA and homologues of the eukaryotic SRP19 and SRP54 proteins. Lineage: Bacteria; Pseudomonadati; Pseudomonadota; Gammaproteobacteria; Alteromonadales; Alteromonadaceae. The record is from Rfam by way of RNAcentral.
UGUCGGUUCUCUCGCAAUGAUAGCUUGUUAAUCUGGUCAGGCCCGGAAGGGAGCAGCCACAGCAAGUGACUCAUGUGCCGGGGUGUAGCUGGCGAGG